GGGAGGCAACAGGGCCAAGGUUAGCAGGAGAGGCAAGGACAGAAGUGAGAGAUAACAUAGUAUUAUGAAAAUAGGGAGCCACAAGACAAGACCUGCAGUCAGCUUGUAGAAGCUGAAAAAAGUCAAGAAAGGGAAUGGUCCCAGAAUGUCCUGAGGGAAACAGCUUUGCUGAUACAUUGACCUCAUCACAGUGAGCCUGGAGUUGGAUGCCAGAUCUACAGGACUAAGAAGACAUUUUCAAAGACACAGAUAUCAGUGUGUUGUUUUGCUGAGAGAAGAUAAAGGGGGCUGAGGCAGGGGAGGAAUAAAAGGCAAGCGGGUCCUGGCCCUUGCACUGCAGUUGAGGGAAUCUGAGGGCAGCAUGCAGGCACCAGCACCGAGGGAAGCUUUGGGCCUAGGCCGCAGUUUUAGGUUCUGAAGAAUAAACAGAAUCUGGAUGCAGUGGUGCACACCUGUAAUCUCAGCAUUCGGGAGGCUGAAGCAGAGAAUCACCAUCAGUUCCUGGUCUAGCCUGGGAUAUAUAGUGAGUUCAAGGCCAGCUUGAACUACAUAGAGAGACCCUGUUCAAAAAAAAAAUAAACAGAGAUGAAGUGCACAUUGUUUUUUUUAUAAAACAGACCACAUCCAAAUCAAAACAACUGAAAAUGCUUCUUAAACUUGGUAUAAAUCAGUUAGCACAGAUGUGUCUGCUGGGAAUGGCAUUUAGAUGAAAGGGAUGCUAUAUAUACCCAAGAUGAGUUAGAAUGUAGAGGACACGAGGAAAAGGCAGUUAAUCAUUUUUUUAAAUGUAAUGAAAGAUAAUGCUGGAAAGAAAGGACAGGGAUUAAUUUUGUUGGGUCUUGAAUUUCAGCCCAAGGAACUGGGAUUAAAUUUAUUUUAUGCUUUUCCUCCAGUGAUUUGUUACUUUUCACUAGGUUGGACCUCAAUAAAAU
This 932-nucleotide long non-coding RNA is filed under the name Heterocephalus glaber (naked mole-rat). RNAcentral describes it as "lncRNA (ENSHGLG00100049286.1)". The record is from RNAcentral. Lineage: Eukaryota; Metazoa; Chordata; Mammalia; Rodentia; Bathyergidae.